This 475-nucleotide long non-coding RNA is filed under the name Homo sapiens (human). RNAcentral describes it as "non-protein coding lnc-PRPF18-5:2". The record is from RNAcentral. Lineage: Eukaryota; Metazoa; Chordata; Mammalia; Primates; Hominidae.
CGAGAAGGCCCUUUGGUCCUACACUGUGAAUGAGUAAGGGGCAGCUGCAAAAUGCUAAGAAUGCUGAGUGCAUUAAGUGAAGUGUUUCUCCCAGGUGUGCACAGGGUGUGGCUUCCAAGGGGAAUGUGGAUGCUGGAAUGAGGGAGGCAGCCACCUAGGCCGGUCAAGUCAGAGGCCCAGCAAGGAGAAAGCGAGCCAAGGCAAACGCCGACAGAAGAGAACGAUAAAUCCGCGGCGCACUCGGCAGAACGUACACCGCACCGCAUAAUUUAGCGGGGCAAUGCCGCCGGGAGUCCACGCCAAGUUAAUGGAAUAUUUCCUGUCUGGGGACUGUGCAACCCCCUGGUCUCCCAAUGCCUCAGUUACUGACGCUGCAAACAAGGCAGAUUGUCCCAGAGAUUAGAGCUCUCAGGCUUUCUCGGGCUUCAAUCAAUCAAAGGAACGUAAGGACCCCUCCCCUACAGAGAGAGCCGGA